AGCAAAUAUGGCAAGCAAUAUCAGUACUUCUCACUUAUUUGUUUGUUUCUUUCUCUUCACUAUUGCUCUCCUUUUUACUCCACUGGUAGCUCUUGUUGAGAGAAAUCUAAACAGUAAUUUAAAUAUGACGAAAUCUUUUCGUCCUCGCUUCAAUCCGUGCCUAAACCGUCCCGGUCAUCCCGGUUCAUCAGCAAAGAACAAAUGUCGGUGACAAUCGGGAAUGACCACUUUAGAAGAUAGCAUAUGAUCCCUAGAGGCAUGCAAAUAACAGAUCAUAUGCCUCAACAAAAAA
This is a long non-coding RNA of Pistacia vera, 292 nucleotides long. RefSeq lists it as uncharacterized. The transcript has 2 exons. Lineage: Eukaryota; Viridiplantae; Streptophyta; Magnoliopsida; Sapindales; Anacardiaceae. The record is from RefSeq and is a predicted model, not a curated record.